This 120-nucleotide small RNA is filed under the name Salmonella enterica subsp. enterica serovar Infantis. RNAcentral describes it as "RtT sRNA". It matches the Rfam family "RtT RNA". From Rfam's summary of the family: This family represents a bacterial cis-regulatory element known as RtT RNA. The exact function of RtT is unknown although it is thought that it may be involved in changing the cellular response in relation to amino acid starvation. RNAcentral also lists the same sequence under 37 other names. Lineage: Bacteria; Pseudomonadati; Pseudomonadota; Gammaproteobacteria; Enterobacterales; Enterobacteriaceae. The record is from RNAcentral.
UGUAUCUGAAGUCUGACGAGGAUGAGAACCUCCGGAGGGCAAGAGGUUCGACCCGAGCGAAGCGAGAAAAUGUUGCGUCAGCAACGGCCCGCAGGGCGAGCCAUCCUCUAUCACCGGCAG